AGGCCAUUAGCGUAACUGGAAACGCGGUCACUUCCCAGGUGACAGAUACAGGUUCGAGCCCUGUAUGGCCUU
Molecule: transfer RNA, 72 nt
Filed under: Bacteroidia bacterium
Lineage: Bacteria; Pseudomonadati; Bacteroidota; Bacteroidia
Description: tRNA-Gly
Rfam family: tRNA
About the family: Transfer RNA (tRNA) molecules are approximately 80 nucleotides in length. Their secondary structure includes four short double-helical elements and three loops (D, anti-codon, and T loops).
Source: RNAcentral